GCAAGGGGCUCCUUCCAUCCCAGUGUGGGGCCACUGCAGGCACGAGGUCCCCCUGCCCCUGCCCCUGCUCCUGAGUGGGAGGCAGAGCUGAGGGAGUGCCUUGGAGGGCACCAAGAACCCAGGUGCCCUCACUGCCACUCAGGCCUGAAGGAGAACCUUCAGCAGGGUCAAAGGAACUGUUCUGUCCUGCCUUUCUUUGCAGAUGACCCUGAUGAUGAUCCUGAUGAUGAAGAUGAGCCUGUUGACAAAGAUGAUCCUGUGGACGAAGACUAUCCUGUGAAUGGAGACGAUCUGGAUUCCCUACGCAUACCCAUUACUGAGCCUCUGGGAGAUGCUGAGGGUGUGUCUGCAGGGAGGACUUUGGUGGAUGUUGCACGCAGGCCCAGCUCCCAUGGCAGGGGUGAGUAGCGUGUGCCUGCUGACCCCACAGGCUGAGCCUUCGUUUUGUGGGAUCCAUUCCUGGGAAACGGAAAUAUUUCUCUUAAGGUCCUCCAAGAAGGAAGAAGAAACCUAUAGGAGCUAGUACAUCCCUGGAGGAAUCCAAACAUCUGGAAAAACUCCUGAGUGGUGUGGACAGCCAGCGUGAUGCAGCCAGCACCUCAACACAUUCUGACAUCAUCUGGAAAAGCAUGAGAAGAGUUUUCUGCUGGGGAACACCUUGUUUGAUUAAGUUGAUGGCCAUUGUGGCUGGUGCGGCACUGUGCCUGAUGAUGUGCUGUGCAGCAAUCUGGUAUUGCUGGAAGAGAAAAUCGUGCUCCUGUGCAUCUUCAGAAAAUUAUCCUAAAAAUAGAGACAACGACAACUUGACAAUAUAACCCAGCUCUUCACUUCUGCCCCUAUCUGCCCUGCCGUGGCUGCACCACCAUAAUGAAGGCAUCCCCAAAUCCAUCCCUCCUCAACGAGACCCUCUGCCCCGGAGUCCCCUGGUCCUGUUCCCCGGCCAGGACUGAAGGUGGGCAGCCCUUGUCUGGCAGGGCAGGGCUUGGCCCCUAUUUUAUGUUUAAAUAAAGAAAUAGAGUUUUCACAGCUA
Passer domesticus (house sparrow) is the source of this 1030-nucleotide long non-coding RNA. RefSeq lists it as uncharacterized. The record is from RefSeq and is a predicted model, not a curated record. Lineage: Eukaryota; Metazoa; Chordata; Aves; Passeriformes; Passeridae. The transcript has 4 exons.